AGACUCUGGUUUCUCUUCAGAUCGUUUAAAUCUUUCACCUUUUAUUAAAGAUUUCCUUGGGAGCGCUCAGAGUUUAAGUUAAUUUUUUGUGGCCCUGCUUUAGUGGGGC
Small nuclear RNA from Carcharodon carcharias (great white shark), 109 nucleotides. RefSeq annotates it as U5 spliceosomal RNA. Lineage: Eukaryota; Metazoa; Chordata; Chondrichthyes; Lamniformes; Lamnidae. The record is from RefSeq and is a predicted model, not a curated record. The transcript has a single exon.